AAUACAUGUUCAUAUAUAUACUAUAUUGAGUCUCUGUAGAUUAUCAGCUUUGCAGCCGCUUUAAAAUUGCAGCAUCUGCUGCAGAUUGUCGCAUUCGCGUUCGCAACAUGAUCUGCUGCUAUAACACCAUCAAGUACACCGGACUCUUGUCCAAUCUGCUUUAUAUGCUACUGGCCAUAGGUGUGCUGGUCGCAGCUGGCCUGGGCCUGCAAAUGGCACAGCCAAACACGCCGGAGCAUACAUACUUUGUGGAGAGUCUCGUGCUGGGCGCCACCAUCUGCACCAUAGUCAUAUUCGGCUGCUAUGGCCUGGUCUGCGAUCUGCUAAGCGUGAAUUUAAUUUUCACCUGCUUCAUACUGAUCGUGCUGGGCGUAGAGUAUCUGCAGCUGCACAACUACCAGCCGCAUAGUCGCUAUAGCGGCGCCUGGCAGCAGCUGGAGCUGACGCUGGCCUGGCAUGGCCUGGAUAAGCAGCCGGAGCUGAUGCAACAGUAUGAGCAGCAGCAGCAAUGCUGCGGUUACAACGGCGCCAACGACUACAAGUCUUUGCAUUUGCCCAUACCGAAAAGCUGUUAUCAGCUUGCUGCUGCCGACGACAAGCUCUUUACACGCGGCUGCCAGGCGACAUUGAACCACAACCAAAACCACAUACAGCAGCGCGAUAAGCUAUUCAUGUGGUGCAUCAUUGGCCUUGAGAUCUUUAUACUCGUCCAGACCAUCGCGCUCAGCGGUCUGCUCUACAAGCUGCGUCAACGCGAGCGACGGGCACGACAACAGGUGCCGCCAGGUGUGCGCCGUGAGCCGCGAGCCAAUCAUGUGGGCUCGCGAGCCCAGCUGCUGGACAAUAUUUGAAUAGCAUCUCUAUGGAUCAUAGCAGCAGCCCAUAUAUCUAUCCACUUAGCCGCUUAUACUAGAUAUGCCAUGGCUAUAAGUAGUUUGGAAAAUGUACAACACCAACAACAACAACAACAACAACUAUUCAAAUAGGAAGAGAUUUAUAGCAUUUAAACGGAUUAUAUUAACUGACUGUUUUAUAUAAAUAUGCGAUUCCGAUUGGAUGUUGGAAUAAAGAACUUCGCACAGCUAAAAAGUCCUUCAGUGGAGUCUUCUAAUUACAAAAAUGGACACCCACCUCGAAGGCCACCAGCACCCAGGAGACAAUGAUGAAGCGCCGCUUGUCGCUCUCGUAAUGGCUCUGCAGCUUCUCGAUGCAGCCCUCGACAAACAGGUGCUCCGGCUUCUGCUGUAGAUCGGCAUAACAGCUGGGCGGUAUCGAUUGCCGUAGAUGGACAUAGUCCUGGGCGCUGGUCUUGCCGCAGCACUCGUACUUCUGCUGCAGUCCGUCCAUGUUGUUCGCCUGCCAGGCCAGCUCCACGGUUUGCUGGGCGCUCUGCACCUCGAACUGAUGCAAGAACAUGCAGGUGCUCACAAUUUGCGGUAUGGCCAGCACCAGCAGAAACACAGCACUCUAAAGGAAGAUAGUAUUGUACAGUAAUUACUCGCUAUAAAUGCAACAGCUGCACAGUUGAACCCUACCGUUGCGGUCAAACAGACCGAUUCGCGUAUGGCCGCAAAUAUGCCCAGAAAGGCGAACAGCACAAUUAUCGCGCAGGCCACAUAGGCGGCGAUAACAAACUCCUCGCUCUCCGUAUCCGAAUUGACGGCUAUCCAACCGAUUGCACCCACUGCGAGGAGCUGUAAGAUUAACGCAACAUAUCAAACUGGAAAUUCUCCGGCCGAGAACUGUGAGCGCAGACGGUCGCGUACGAACUACAACUGAAACUGAAACUGAAACCGAGACCCGAAGCUGGCGAGCAAAGAGCACAAAACGGCACAGUGGCACGCGGAGCACCACCACGGAGCACCACUGAGCACCACAGUGCAAACAAAAAGACGGUAAACAAACAUGAAAAGCAAAAAUAAAAAAGCCAAAAUCAAA
This is a non-coding RNA of Drosophila virilis, 1938 nucleotides long. The record is from RefSeq and is a predicted model, not a curated record. Lineage: Eukaryota; Metazoa; Arthropoda; Insecta; Diptera; Drosophilidae.